Molecule: ribosomal RNA, 253 nt
Filed under: uncultured microorganism
Description: partial 16S ribosomal RNA
Rfam family: Bacterial small subunit ribosomal RNA
Source: RNAcentral
AACGUAGGGGGCGAGCGUUGUCCGGAUUUACUGGGCGUAAAGCGUGCGCAGGCGGCCCGUUAAGACAGGUGUGAAAUCCCUGGGCUCAACCUAGGAAUUGCGCUUGUGACUGGCGGGCUCGAGUACGGUAGAGGGGGGUGGAAUUCCUGGUGUAGCAGUGAAAUGCGUAGAGAUCAGGAGGAACACCGAUGGCGAAGGCAGCCCCCUGGGCCUGUACUGACGCUCAUGCACGAAAGCGUGGGGAGCAAACAGG